Molecule: non-coding RNA, 27 nt
Filed under: Mus musculus (house mouse)
Lineage: Eukaryota; Metazoa; Chordata; Mammalia; Rodentia; Muridae
Source: RNAcentral
UGGCCACUUAGUGCGAUUUCAUGCCAG